Molecule: ribosomal RNA, 490 nt
Filed under: uncultured bacterium
Lineage: Bacteria
Description: partial 16S ribosomal RNA
Rfam family: Bacterial small subunit ribosomal RNA
Source: RNAcentral
AUUGAACGCUGGCGGCAGGCCUAACACAUGCAAGUCGAACGGUAACAGGAAGCAGCUUGCUGCUUCGCUGACGAGUGGCGGACGGGUGAGUAAUGUCUGGGAAGCUGCCUGAUGGAGGGGGAUAACUACUGGAAACGGUAGCUAAUACCGCAUAAUGUCGCAAGACCAAAGAGGGGGACCUUCGGGCCUCUUGCCAUCGGAUGUGCCCAGAUGGGAUUAGCUUGUUGGUGGGGUAACGGCUCACCAAGGCGACGAUCCCUAGCUGGUCUGAGAGGAUGACCAGCCACACUGGAACUGAGACACGGUCCAGACUCCUACGGGAGGCAGCAGCGGGGAAUAUUGCACAAUGGGCGCAAGCCUGAUGCAGCCAUGCCGCGUGUAUGAAGAAGGCCUUCGGGUUGUAAAGUACUUUCAGCGGGGAGGAAGGGAGUAAAGUUAAUACCUUUGCUCAUUGACGUUACCCGCAGAAGAAGCACCGGCUAACUCCGUG